This 469-nucleotide long non-coding RNA is filed under the name Capra hircus (goat). RNAcentral's name for it is "lncRNA (ENSCHIG00000001837.1)". The record is from RNAcentral. Lineage: Eukaryota; Metazoa; Chordata; Mammalia; Artiodactyla; Bovidae.
GGAGGGCAGGGCUCAGAGCUGAAAGACACACCUCCUUGGCAGGCUUGGGUCAGAAAAGAAGACAUCCAGCAGCACCAGCCUACAAAUAAGGACUGAAAACCAUGAUCUCCCAGGAUCCCUGUUUCUCUGUUUUUCCACUUUUAAUCUCUCUCCCUCUCACUUUUUUCAGCUCCUCAGGGUCAGAUGCUUUGUUCCAUCUAUUCCUCCCUGUCCCAGAAAACAGACCCUGGCUUUUCUGCUGCUUUCAGAUUACUUUGCUGGAAGAACUUGGUGUGAAAGGUUUUCUCCCUGCUCGGAGGUAAAUGGAAGCCUAGUCCUGUCUUUGAGCUGUGCCUGGGAACAUUCCGGUCCUGCCCCCAGGCCCAUGGAAGAUAAAUGUCCUGCAAAGGUGGGGCUGGUGUCUUUGUUCACUUUGUGGCUUAAACAGCAGGCGUUUAUGAUCUCUCAGUUCUGGAGGCUGCCAACCUGA